CCCCUCUCUCUCUCUCUCUCGCUCUCCCACUCGCACCUGCGCCAGCGCCGCAUCCCCAAUCCCGCUCCCGCACGCGCUGACGCCGGAAACUGCUCCGCCAUCAGCGCUCCCCUCCCCAACAGCCUCGCCGAUCUGCCCCGCACGUCGUCAAGGGUGCCGGCUCGCCGCAGUCUACAUCGCCGCCCACUCCGUCGUCAUCGAAUCCGUCCUCGGGCAGGAAUCACGUCGCCGCCGAUGCCCUCUGCGCCGAUCUGUUCCUCACCGUCACCGAUCCCCGCUGCCAGCUCGCCCUCCACCGACCCCCCGCCGGAAGCCCUUCUGUCGCCAGGUCUCCGCCAAUGCAUUCCACACCGAGCUGCUCCUCGCCGCCACCGAUCCCUGCUGCCAGGUCGCUGCCGACGCCUUCCGCACCGAGCUGCUCCUCGCCGCGCCGCCACGACGACGACGAUAGACUCCUCAGCAAGUCGCUCCUGCCGACCACCUAGCUAGCUAGCUAACGUCUUGACGAUGUGUUUGUGGCUAGCUAGAGCUCUGAUGCGGCAGCUUGUAUGGUGUGGCUGGGAGACGACGACGCAGCGUGCGCGAGAGGAUGGGAGUCACGAGCUCCAGCCUUAAGGGAGGGGAAGGAGCAUAAAAAAAAAUUGAGGGAUGGAAAGAGAAAUAAAAAGUUAAAAACAGAGAGAAGACAAAAUAGAAAAAAAUUUGGAAGAUUGGAAGAGAGGUUCAGAAAAUUUAAUUCAGUGGCUCAUGACCGUUGUUCUAAAGGUCAUGAUCAUGUAGAUAUGCCUGCAGUUCGCUGCCGAGGUGCAGGAUAGCUAGGAAGGAGAUAACUGGAGCAGUACUUGUGUCAUAGACUGAUUGACAGUGCCGAUCGACGAGUUGCAUCGAGAACACUGGGCUUUUGGUCCCAUAGCUUCAAACAAAAAGACCGCUUUGUAGUUUCAAUCUGGAAAUCCAUUUUCGUUGGUCCCAUGCAGUGAUGAAAAUUGAGCUCCACACUGCGCCGGCAACCCCGGCGGGCAACCUCUGCACCGCCACCUCCCCUGUCGUCUGGUUUCCACCGCCGGUAAGAAAUUGCAGAACCCCACGUUUAAUUUAAUUAAAGAUCUUUUCUGUUCAGAGCUGCAGAUUAGGUGUUUAAUUUCUUCAUGGCACCCUUUGUGCAGAAGGAAUUGCUCAAAUCAGACACAAGUGAAGCUAUUUGAGGGAUCACUAGCUGUACCAAUUUCUUUCCAGUCACAUUGGUGAACAAAAUUGGUAUAGGGCGGCGUAUGAAGUUAGAUAUCAUAAUACUCCGAAGGAAGGAUGAGAUCCAAACACAACUGCAAGUUUGCAACUCCUGGUUCUUGUUCAAUAGAAUGAUCCUGAAUUUGUGCAUUGAUGAUCACAUUGGUGCUCAAGAACGAUUACAAGAUUUAAUCAACCUUGAUGCAAAAUGAUGCCUUUGUCAGAGGUCAGGGGUGAGCUCAGUUGGAAUGUGUCGUCUUGGUGUAUUUGAUUGAGUCUUAAUAAAGCUUCCAUUAUUUAAAAAGGUAUACACUAGUACCUGAAACUGUGCCUUUCACAUUUCCAUCUGAAGAAAAAUGCAAAUAAAAGGAGGAAAAGAAAACGUCUUUGGAGGUUCGGAGUUCCCUUGACCUCAAGGCCUGAUGUGAUUAAACACUAAAUAAAUUUCGAAACGGCCCAAUAAUUUGAGCCCAACGAAAAGCCAUUCCUGGAUGAGAUCCAACCACAACUGAACUCCAUGUUGUUGCUCAACAGAGUGACGGUGAUCAAUUGGUACUCAAUAUCGUGUUGGAGAAUAAAACUUGUGCAAAACUUUCACUAGCAAAUCCUGGAUUGUGAUUGUUUAAGUUUCUUUCUGUAGCGAAACUUGACUGCCAACCUCCAAAGUACUCCUUACUACUCUCAUCUGUUGAUUUUGAUUAAACUCUGAUGAAUAAAACUGUGCUAUCAGAAGGAA
Molecule: non-coding RNA, 1963 nt
Organism: Oryza sativa Japonica Group (Japanese rice)
Lineage: Eukaryota; Viridiplantae; Streptophyta; Magnoliopsida; Poales; Poaceae
Source: RefSeq, a predicted model, not a curated record